GAUGAAGAACGCAUCGAAAUGCGAUAAGUAAUGUGAAUUGCAGAAUUCAGUGAAUCAUCGAAUCUUUGAACGCACAUUGCGCCCCUUGGUAUUCCGAGGGGCAUGCCUGUUCGAGCGUCAUUUCAACCCUCAAGCACAGCUUGGUCUUGGGCUUCGCCGCUAACCCGGCGGGUCUUAAAAUCAGUGGCGGUGCCGUCGGGCCCUGAGCGCAGUAAUUUCUCUCGCUAUAGGGUCCCGGCGGAUGCUGGCCAGUAACCCCCAAUUUUCUAUGGUUGACCUCGGAUCAGGUAGGGAUACCCGCUGAACUUAAGCAUAUCAAUAAGCGGAGGA
Molecule: unclassified non-coding RNA, 330 nt
Filed under: soil metagenome
Description: partial contains 5.8S ribosomal RNA, internal transcribed spacer 2, and large subunit ribosomal RNA
Rfam family: 5.8S ribosomal RNA (bases 1-120)
Source: RNAcentral